AACGAACGCUGGCGGCAGGCUUAACACAUGCAAGUCGAACGCACCUUUCGGGGUGAGUGGCAGACGGGUGAGUAACGCGUGGGAAUCUACCCUUCUCUACGGGAUAGCUCCGGGAAACUGGAAUUAAUACCGUAUACGUCCUGAGGGAGAAAGAUUUAUCGGGGAAGGAUGGGCCCGCGUUGGAUUAGCUAGUUGGUGGGGUAAAGGCCUACCAAGGCGACGAUCCAUAGCUGGUCUAAGAGGAUGAUCAGCCACAUUGGGACUGAGACACGGCCCAAACUCCUACGGGAGGCAGCAGUGGGGAAUAUUGGACAAUGGGCGCAAGCCUGAUCCAGCCAUGCCGCGUGAGUGAUGAAGGCCCUAGGGUUGUAAAGCUCUUUCAGUGGGGACGAUAAUGACGGUACCCACAGAAGAAGCCCCGGCUAACUUCGUG
This 433-nucleotide ribosomal RNA is filed under the name uncultured bacterium. Its description in RNAcentral is "partial 16S ribosomal RNA". It matches the Rfam family "Bacterial small subunit ribosomal RNA", at positions 29 to 507 of the family's 1533-position model. The record is from RNAcentral.